ACGGAAGGCAGCAGUGAGGAAUAUUGGUCAAUGGGCGGAAGCCUGAACCAGCCAAGUCGCGUGAAGGAUGAAGGUAUUAUGUAUUGUAAACCUCUUUAGACGUAGAGAAAUAAGGGGAUCGUGAUCCCUGAUGCUAGUAUACGUAGAAUAAGGAUCGGCUAACUCCGUGCCAGCAGCCGCGGUAAUACGGAGGAUCCGAGCGUUAUCCGGAUUUAUUGGGUUUAAAGGGUGCGCAGGCGGUCUUUUAAGUCAGUGGUUAAAUCGUGGAGCUUAACUCCAUCCCGCCAUUGAUACUGGAGGACUUGAUUGCGGUUGAGGUUGGCGGAAUUCGCCGUGUAGCGGUGAAAUGCAUAGAUAUGGCGAAGAACUCCGAUUGCGUAGGCAGCUGACCAAGCCGUAAAUGACGCUCAUGCACGAAAGUGCGGGGAUCGAACAGGAUUAGAUACCCUGGUA
Molecule: ribosomal RNA, 453 nt
Filed under: uncultured Porphyromonadaceae bacterium
Lineage: Bacteria; Pseudomonadati; Bacteroidota; Bacteroidia; Bacteroidales; Porphyromonadaceae
Description: partial 16S ribosomal RNA
Rfam family: Bacterial small subunit ribosomal RNA
Source: RNAcentral